GAAAGCUAGUGCUGAUAGAAAAAUUCUACCUGACAUGCAUGCUGAGGUGGAGGCUCUGAGACAGGAGCAUCAAAAAUUGCGUGCUGCCUUUGAGUAUGAAAAAGGGUUAAACAUGGACCAAGUGGAGCGGAUGCAGGCGAUGGAUAAGAACCUAAUCUCUCUGGCAAAGGAAGUCGAGAAGCUACAAGCAGAUGUGGCAAAUGUCGAGAAGAAAGCAAGCGCGUCAAGGUCGUACGCCACCAGCACGUUUG
This 251-nucleotide unclassified non-coding RNA is filed under the name Hevea brasiliensis (rubber tree). The record is from RNAcentral. Lineage: Eukaryota; Viridiplantae; Streptophyta; Magnoliopsida; Malpighiales; Euphorbiaceae.